This 344-nucleotide ribosomal RNA is filed under the name uncultured bacterium. RNAcentral's name for it is "bacterial SSU rRNA". It matches the Rfam family "Bacterial small subunit ribosomal RNA", at positions 30 to 372 of the family's 1533-position model. The record is from RNAcentral.
AUUGAACGCUGGCGGCAUGCCUUACACAUGCAAGUCGAACGGCAGCACGGGAGCAAUCCUGGUGGCGAGUGGCGAACGGGUGAGUAAUAUAUCGGAACGUGCCCGGUCGUGGGGGAUAACGUAGCGAAAGCUACGCUAAUACCGCAUACGAUCUACGGAUGAAAGCGGGGGAUCGCAAGACCUCGCGCGAUUGGAGCGGCCGAUAUCAGAUUAGGGUAGUUUGGUGAGGUAAAGGCUCACCAAGCCGACGAUCUGUAGCUGGUCUGAGAGGACGACCAGCCACACUGGAACUGAGACACGGUCCAGACUCCUACGGGAGGCAGCAGUGGGGAAUUUUGGACAAU